UGGGGAAUUUUUGACAAUGGGGGAAACCCUGAUUCAGCCAUCCCGCGUGUGCGAUGAAGGCCUUCGGGUUGUAAAGCACUUUUGGCAGGAAAGAAACGUCAUGGGUUAAUACCCCGUGAAACUGACGGUACCUGCAGAAUAAGCACCGGCUAACUACGGUCCAGCAGCCGCGGUAAUACGUAGGGUGCAAGCGUUAAUCGGAAUUACUGGGCGUAAAGCGUGCGCAGGCGGUUCGGAAAGAAAGAUGUGAAAUCCCAGAGCUCAACUUUGGAACUGCAUUUUUAACUACCGGGCUAGAGUGUGUCAGAGGGAGGUGGAAUUCCGCGUGUAGCAGUGAAAUGCGUAGAUAUGCGGAGGAACACCGAUGGCGAAGGCAGCAUCCUGGGAUAACACUGACGAUCAUGAACGAAAGCGUGGGGAGCAAACAGG
Molecule: ribosomal RNA, 429 nt
Filed under: Acidobacteriota bacterium
Lineage: Bacteria; Pseudomonadati; Acidobacteriota
Description: Acidobacteria bacterium partial 16S ribosomal RNA
Rfam family: Bacterial small subunit ribosomal RNA
Source: RNAcentral